CCUACGGGUGGCUGCAGUGAGGAAUAUUGGUCAAUGGGCGCGAGCCUGAACCAGCCAAGUAGCGUGAAGGAUGACUGCCCUACGGGUUGUAAACUUCUUUUAUAAAGGAAUAAAGUGAGGCACGUGUGCCUUUUUGUAUGUACUUUAUGAAAAAACAUCGGCUAACUCCGUGCCAGCAGCCGCGUUCAUACGGAGGUUGCGAGCGUUAUACGGAUUUAUUGGGUUUAACGGGUGCGCCGUCGGAGGUGCAAGUCAGUGGUCAAAUUGCGGGGCUCAACCCCGUACUGCCGUUGAAACUGCAUCCCUAGAGUGCGCGAGAGGUAUGCGGAAUGCGUGGUGUAGCGGUGAAAUGCAUAGAUAUCACGAAGAACUCCGAUUGCGAAGGCAGCAUACCGGCGCGCAACUGACGCUCAUGCACGAAAGCGUGGGUAUCGAACAGGAUUAGAUACCCCGGUAGUC
This 459-nucleotide ribosomal RNA is filed under the name uncultured bacterium. RNAcentral's name for it is "partial 16S ribosomal RNA". It matches the Rfam family "Bacterial small subunit ribosomal RNA", at positions 338 to 795 of the family's 1533-position model. The record is from RNAcentral.